UGAGGAAUAUUUGUCAAUGGACGAGAGUCUGAACCAGCCAAGUAGCGUGCAGGAUGACGGCCCUAUGGGUUGUAAACUGCUUUUGUUUGGGAAUAAUCGACAUUACGUGUAAUGUUUUGCAUGUACCAUUCGAAUAAGGACCGGCUAAUUCCGUGCCAGCAGCCGCGGUAAUACGGAAGGUCCAGGCGUUAUCCGGAUUUAUUGGGUUUAAAGGGAGUGUAGGCGGUUGGUUAAGCGUGUUGUGAAAUGUAGAUGCUCAACAUCUGACUUGCAGCGCGAACUGGCUGACUUGAGUACACACAACGUAGGCGGAAUUCCUGGUGUAGCGGUGAAAUGCUUAGAUAUCAUGAAGAACUCCGAUUGCGAAGGCAGCUUACGGGAGUGUUACUGACGCUUAAGCUCGAAGGUGCGGGUAUCGAACAGG
RNAcentral lists this ribosomal RNA (424 nucleotides) under Verrucomicrobiota bacterium. RNAcentral's name for it is "Verrucomicrobia bacterium partial 16S ribosomal RNA". It matches the Rfam family "Bacterial small subunit ribosomal RNA", at positions 355 to 776 of the family's 1533-position model. The record is from RNAcentral. Lineage: Bacteria; Pseudomonadati; Verrucomicrobiota.